This 577-nucleotide ribosomal RNA is filed under the name uncultured cyanobacterium. Its description in RNAcentral is "bacterial SSU rRNA". It matches the Rfam family "Bacterial small subunit ribosomal RNA", at positions 391 to 981 of the family's 1533-position model. The record is from RNAcentral. Lineage: Bacteria; Bacillati; Cyanobacteriota.
GCAACGCCGCGUGAGGGAUGAAGGCCUCUGGGCUGUAAACCUCUUUUAUCAAGGAAGAAGAUCUGACGGUACUUGAUGAAUAAGCCACGGCUAAUUCCGUGCCAGCAGCCGCGGUAAUACGGGAGUGGCAAGCGUUAUCCGGAAUUAUUGGGCGUAAAGCGUCCGCAGGCGGCCCUUCAAGUCUGCUGUUAAAAAGUGGAGCUUAACUCCAUCAUGGCAGUGGAAACUGAGGGGCUUGAGUGUGGUAGGGGCAGAGGGAAUUCCCGGUGUAGCGGUGAAAUGCGUAGAUAUCGGGAAGAACACCAGUGGCGAAGGCGCUCUGCUGGGCCAUCACUGACGCUCAUGGACGAAAGCCAGGGGAGCGAAAGGGAUUAGAUACCCCUGUAGUCCUGGCCGUAAACGAUGAACACUAGGUGUCGGGGGAAUCGACCCCCUCGGUGUCGUAGCCAACGCGUUAAGUGUUCCGCCUGGGGAGUACGCCACGCAAGUGUGAAACUCAAAGGAAUUGACGGGGGCCCGCACAAGCGGUGGAGUAUGUGGUUUAAUUCGAUGCAACGCGAAGAACCUUACCAGGGUU